UACGGAGGAUGCAAGCGUUAUCCGGAUUUAUUGGGUUUAAAGGGUGCGCAGGCGGGAGAUUAAGUCGGCGGUGAAAUUUUGCAGCUCAACUGUAAAAGUGCCUUCGAAACUGGUUUCCUUGAGUGUGGAUGAAGUAGGCGGAAUUUGUGGUGUAGCGGUGAAAUGCAUAGAUAUCACGAGGAACUCCGAUUGCGCAGGCAGCUUACUAAACUACUACUGACGCUCAGGCACGAAGGCGUGGGGAUCAAACAGGAUUAGAUACCCCGGUAGU
RNAcentral lists this ribosomal RNA (271 nucleotides) under uncultured prokaryote. Its description in RNAcentral is "partial 16S ribosomal RNA". It matches the Rfam family "Bacterial small subunit ribosomal RNA", at positions 524 to 794 of the family's 1533-position model. The record is from RNAcentral.